Cephus cinctus (wheat stem sawfly) is the source of this 119-nucleotide ribosomal RNA. The record is from RefSeq and is a predicted model, not a curated record. NCBI's taxonomy places the organism in Eukaryota, Metazoa, Arthropoda, Insecta, Hymenoptera, Cephidae.
GGCAAGGUUCAUACCACUUUGAAAGUACCGGUUCUCGUCCGAUCACCGAAGUCAAGCAAAGUUGGGCGCGGUCAGUACUUGGAUGGGUGACCGCUUGGGAACACCGCGUAACCUUGCUC